UAAUAUUUCGUUUCUCUUGGAACUGCAUCACAAUGCAAAAAAACAAAUGGCCGUAGCUUCCAGUUCAUGCUAACUUUAAAGUGAGAGAGCAGCAUCUCCAGAGUUCAGCUGUGUGUCUAUGAAGAGCAACAACUCAAUGUAUCAGCCUCCUUAUAUGAGUGAUGGAUCUGCUGUGAGCUCUGAGUCUGGGUCAUCCUAUCCAGCUUUAUGGUUACCAACAAGAGGAAUGACUCAGAGAGCAGCAUCUCCAGAGUUUAGCUGUGUGUCUAUGAAGAGCAACAACUCAAUGCAACAGCCUCCUUUUAUGAGUGAUGGAUCUGCUGUGAGCUCUGAGUCUGGGUGAGUAUCAUGAGGAAUGAUUUUAGGUGUCUUUUUGUUGUGGCGGCAUAAAAAUAGUUUAGUCAUCUCAAGCCAACAAUACAGCAGUACAGAUCACUAUUUUAAUAUAUCAAUAUAUUCCCACGUCACAGUUCCAGUGAUGCUGGUAAAGUUGAUUCUAUUAGACCAUUUGGUGA
Molecule: long non-coding RNA, 515 nt
Filed under: Danio rerio (zebrafish)
Lineage: Eukaryota; Metazoa; Chordata; Actinopteri; Cypriniformes; Danionidae
Description: lncRNA (ENSDARG00000117625.1)
Source: RNAcentral